UACGGAGGGAGCUAGCGUUGUUCGGAAUUACUGGGCGUAAAGCGCGCGCAGGCGGUCUUCCAAGUCAGUGGUGAAAGCCCGGAGCUCAACUCCGGAACUGCCAUUGAAACUGUGAGACUUGAGUACGAGAGAGGUGAGUGGAAUUCCCAGUGUAGAGGUGAAAUUCGUAGAUAUUGGGAAGAACACCGGUGGCGAAGGCGGCUCACUGGCUCGUAACUGACGCUCAGGCGCGACAGCGUGGGGAUCAAACAGG
This 253-nucleotide ribosomal RNA is filed under the name uncultured bacterium. Its description in RNAcentral is "partial 16S ribosomal RNA". It matches the Rfam family "Bacterial small subunit ribosomal RNA", at positions 524 to 776 of the family's 1533-position model. The record is from RNAcentral.